Molecule: ribosomal RNA, 122 nt
Filed under: Fukomys damarensis (Damara mole-rat)
Lineage: Eukaryota; Metazoa; Chordata; Mammalia; Rodentia; Bathyergidae
Source: RNAcentral
AUCUACGGCCAUUCCACCCUGAACGCGCCUGAUCUUGUCUGAUCUCGGAAGCUAAGCAGAGUCGGGCCUGGUUAGUACUUGGAUGGGAGAAUUACACCUCAAGACUUCAGUUUUUGUGUUUU